Long non-coding RNA from Sapajus apella (tufted capuchin), 1034 nucleotides. RefSeq lists it as uncharacterized. The record is from RefSeq and is a predicted model, not a curated record. The transcript is spliced from 4 exons. Lineage: Eukaryota; Metazoa; Chordata; Mammalia; Primates; Cebidae.
GGCAUCUCAUCUUGGCAUUCUUUCCCCAUGACUUUGAUCCCACCUUGGUUCCUGGUACUGCCACCAGACUGGAGUCAUUGAAAGCUCCUUUUAGAGGUUGUGACAUCCAAGGAUGGUUUCAUAAUGGCUGUGUUCUGGUGAGCUUUCCUAAUUUCAGACUGGGUCUUCAUGACAUGUGGUGGGACUGUAAAUCUGCAGAAGUCAGAAAACAGCCUCCCUUCAGGCUCAUGUGAAAUGCUUAAAGACGUCAGGCAAUUGCUGCAGAAAUGAGAGACAUCAGACCCUAACUGGCAAGAGGCAUCUGGAGCCACUGGCUUCCAUUGUCUUCCACAUUUUUGAUUUCUUCUUUGCUACUGUACAAAGAUUCUGUGAUUGGAUAGACAAUUCAGGUUAGUUCUACAAAUAUUUAUCAAAUAUAUGUGUAAGACUCUGUAUUAGGUGUGUGGGGGUUGGGGAAGUGGAGGGAAUAGCAUUAUGGGCAAAGAUAAAUAAGAAUCUGUUCUUGUCUACAAGGAUCCUAACAUUUUGAAGGGGAAAUGUUGACUUAUAAACAAGAAGGAAUAAAAAUAGUUUUAUAGUAGAAGCAUAAGCACAGUGCCCUGGCAACUUAGAGAAAAGGAAAUCUUCAGAAAAGCCAAUUUCUUUUGAGCUGUAAAAAUCCUUACAAACUGGAACUUAUUACUUUUAGCUUGAUAUAUACUUUCUGGGGCUGUAAUAUGAAUAGAUCCAGCUUCAUUUCACAUGUAUAUUUCAAAAUUGCCUCUGGUUUUGGAUAUUUGUGGCAAAGCAUUUUAUAGACUGUGCUGGUUCCAAAGGCAGGUAGUAUGUAGAUUAAUAGUUUUGAGAAAGCAAAGUAGGUUAGAAAAAGCAACUUUUUCAAGUAUCCUUUGUUUGGAUGACUUUAUAUUGUAUGCUGUCUCAGACAUCAAUACCUUCAACUGUGGCUCAGGAAGUUUUGCUCAUCAAUCCAUUUCACUUCUUAUUAAAUAUUGUAUUUUCUUAACAUGGAAUACAUGGAUGAGCUUUACGGAACC